RNAcentral lists this ribosomal RNA (903 nucleotides) under uncultured bacterium. RNAcentral describes it as "bacterial SSU rRNA". It matches the Rfam family "Bacterial small subunit ribosomal RNA", at positions 33 to 935 of the family's 1533-position model. The record is from RNAcentral.
ACGCUGGCGGCGUGCUUAACACAUGCAAGUCGAACGCUGAAGCCCAGCUUGCUGGGUGGAUGAGUGGCGAACGGGUGAGUAACACGUGAGUAACCUGCCCCCUUCUUUGGGAUAACGCCCGGAAACGGGUGCUAAUACUGGAUAUUCACUGAUCUUCGCAUGGGGGUUGGUGGAAAGGUUUUUUCUGGUGGGGGAUGGGCUCGCGGCCUAUCAGCUUGUUGGUGGGGUGAUGGCCUACCAAGGCUUUGACGGGUAGCCGGCCUGAGAGGGUGACCGGUCACAUUGGGACUGAGAUACGGCCCAGACUCCUACGGGAGGCAGCAGUGGGGAAUAUUGCACAAUGGGCGAAAGCCUGAUGCAGCGACGCCGCGUGAGGGAUGACGGCCUUCGGGUUGUAAACCUCUUUCGCUCAUGGUCAAGCCGCAGCUUUGGGUUGUGGUGAGGGUAGUGGGUAAAGAAGCGCCGGCUAACUGCGUGCCAGCAGCCGCGGUAAUACGUAGGGCGCGAGCGUUGUCCGGAAUUAUUGGGCGUAAAGGGCUUGUAGGCGGUUGGUCGCGUCUGCCGUGAAAUCCUCUGGCUUAACUGGGGGCGUGCUGUGGGUACGGGCUGACUUGAGUGCGGUAGGGGAGACUGGAACUCCUGGUGUAGCGGUGGAAUGCGCAGAUAUCAGGAAGAACACCGGUGGCGAAGGCGGGUCUCUGGGCCGUUACUGACGCUGAGGAGCGAAAGCGUGGGGAGCGAACAGGAUUAGAUACCCUGGUAGUCCACGCUGUAAACGUUGGGCACUAGGUGUGGGGGCCACCCGUGGUUUCUGCGCCGUAGCUAACGCUUUAAGUGCCCGCCUGGGGAGUACGGCCGCAAGGCUAAAACUCAAAGAAAUUGACGGGGGCCGCCCAGCGGCGA